RNAcentral lists this long non-coding RNA (875 nucleotides) under Marmota monax (woodchuck). The record is from RNAcentral. Lineage: Eukaryota; Metazoa; Chordata; Mammalia; Rodentia; Sciuridae.
CCAAGAGUCACUCUUGAAUCGACUGGUAUGGUGCAGAAACCCAGCCUCACGCAGGGGCAGGGUGGCCUGAGGAGGCUCUGGUUUCCCCUGUGUCCCCGCGCCCUCGCGCUCGCCCCCGCCCUGGCGCUCUGGAGGGUGGACAUCUAUUCGUGUGGGAGCGAGUAGUUCCCACCCAGCCCACUCUGGGCUUCUCCUUUAUUAACUGUUGGAAAGGUACCAGCUGUGUGCUUGUCACUCUGUCAUUUACCUGUCACUUGGCUGCCUCACCCAGGCCUCGACACCGAGCAGGACUGCCCAGGCGCAGCCAGGCCCAGCUGGCGUGGGGGCCCCUCUACCACUGUCCCCGACUAGGACUCCACACAUCACAGAGGUACACAACGUGCAUGGUGAUGCUGGCAGAAUGGGUAGAAAGGCCCUGGGGCUGAGUCCAGGGUGGCUGUGGGGGCUGGGCCCUGGGGCUGGGCCUGGGCGUCCAACUCCCUGGGCAUCAGGGCCAGGACUGCAGAGGCCGGGGGCCAGGGGCCGGGGUUGCCCUGCUCAGGGAGCUCCCACCUUGCCGAGCAGUAGUUAAUGUGUCUGGAGAAGAAACCCAAAGUCACAGGCAGGACAAACCUUCAAGGAGCACUUUCAAGCUUCCAGAAGUAAACGACGAGAGGCCCAGGGUCAGUUCACGCCCCGUGGUCAGCCCUGGGGUGUGGAGGUAGAGGGGACCCACAGGCGUCCAGGCACAGAGCUGCUUGGGAGCAGAAGCAGCAAGCUGGCCUUCAGCAUUGCCUAGUGACAUGACACACUGGAGGAAAUCAGGGGACACCUACAGUUUCCAGGAUGCAAGUGAGCAGCUUCGUCCCACCCAGAUCACCCAGGUGAGGCUGCAG